CGAAUGCUGACAUAAGUAACGAUAAAGCGGGUGAAAAGCCCGCUCGCCGGAAGACCAAGGGUUCCUGUCCAACGUUAAUCGGGGCAGGGUGAGUCGACCCCUAAGGCGAGGCCGAAAGGCGUAGUCGAUGGGAAACAGGUUAAUAUUCCUGUACUUGGUGUUACUGCGAAGGGGGGACGGAGAAGGCUAUGUUGGCCGGGCGACGGUUGUCCCGGUUUAAGCGUGUAGGCUGGUUUUCCAGGCAAAUCCGGAAAAUCAAGGCUGAGGCGUGAUGACGAGGCACUACGGUGCUGAAGCAACAAAUGCCCUGCUUCCAGGAAAAGCCUCUAAGCAUCAGGUAACAUCAAAUCGUACCCCAAACCGACACAGGUGGUCAGGUAGAGAAUACCAAGGCGCUUGAGAGAACUCGGGUGAAGGAACUAGGCAAAAUGGUGCCGUAACUUCGGGAGAAGGCACGCUGAUAUGUAGGUGAAGUCCCUCGCGGAUGGAGCUGAAAUCAGUCGAAGAUACCAGCUGGCUGCAACUGUUUAUUAAAAACACAGCACUGUGCAAACACGAAAGUGGACGUAUACGGUGUGACGCCUGCCCGGUGCCGGAAGGUUAAUUGAUGGGGUUAGCGCAAGCGAAGCUCUUGAUCGAAGCCCCGGUAAACGGCGGCCGUAACUAUAACGGUCCUAAGGUAGCGAAAUUCCUUGUCGGGUAAGUUCCGACCUGCACGAAUGGCGUAAUGAUGGCCAGGCUGUCUCCACCCGAGACUCAGUGAAAUUGAACUCGCUGUGAAGAUGCAGUGUACCCGCGGCAAGACGGAAAGACCCCGUGAACCUUUACUAUAGCUUGACACUGAACAUUGAGCCUUGAUGUGUAGGAUAGGUGGGAGGCUUUGAAGUGUGGACGCCAGUCUGCAUGGAGCCGACCUUGAAAUACCACCCUUUAAUGUUUGAUGUUCUAACGUGGACCCGUAAUCCGGGUUGCGGACAGUGUCUGGUGGGUAGUUUGACUGGGGCGGUCUCCUCCUAAAGAGUAACGGAGGAGCACGAAGGUUGGCUAAUCCUGGUCGGACAUCAGGAGGUUAGUGCAAUGGCAUAAGCCAGCUUGACUGCGAGCGUGACGGCGCGAGCAGGUGCGAAAGCAGGUCAUAGUGAUCCGGUGGUUCUGAAUGGAAGGGCCAUCGCUCAACGGAUAAAAGGUACUCCGGGGAUAACAGGCUGAUACCGCCCAAGAGUUCAUAUCGACGGCGGUGUUUGGCACCUCGAUGUCGGCUCAUCACAUCCUGGGGCUGAAGUAGGUCCCAAGGGUAUGGCUGUUCGCCAUUUAAAGUGGUACGCGAGCUGGGUUUAGAACGUCGUGAGACA
Molecule: ribosomal RNA, 1352 nt
Filed under: Escherichia coli
Lineage: Bacteria; Pseudomonadati; Pseudomonadota; Gammaproteobacteria; Enterobacterales; Enterobacteriaceae
Description: partial 23S ribosomal RNA
Rfam family: Bacterial large subunit ribosomal RNA
Source: RNAcentral